This 378-nucleotide ribosomal RNA is filed under the name uncultured bacterium. RNAcentral describes it as "bacterial SSU rRNA". It matches the Rfam family "Bacterial small subunit ribosomal RNA", at positions 70 to 446 of the family's 1533-position model. The record is from RNAcentral.
GAAGUUUCCUUCGGGAAAUGGAUUAGCGGCGGACGGGUGAGUAACACGUGGGUAACCUGCCUCAUAGUGGGGGAUAGCCUUCCGAAAGGGAGAUUAAUACCGCAUAACAUCAUUAGAUGGCAUCAUUUAGUGAUCAAAGGGUUUAUUCGCUAUGAGAUGGACCCGCGUCGCAUUAGCUAGUUGGUAGGGUAAUGGCUUACCAAGGCGACGAUGCGUAGCCGACCUGAGAGGGUGAUCGGCCACAUUGGGACUGAGACACGGCCCAGACUCCUACGGGAGGCAGCAGUGGGGAAUAUUGCACAAUGGGGGAAACCCUGAUGCAGCAACGCCGCGUGAGUGAUGACGGUCUUCGGAUUGUAAAGCUCUGUCUUUGGGGAC